UACCACUCUUUGUAAAGCUAGAAUUCUAACCUUGUAUCGUAAGCAGGUCAAGGAACAUUUUCAGGUGGGCAGUUUGACUGGGGCGGUCGCCUCCUAAAAGGUAACGGAGGCGCACAAAGGUUUCCUCAUAUCGGUCAGAAAUCGAUAGUAGAGCGUAAAGGCAUAAGGAAGCUUGACUGCGAGACCUACAAGUCGAGCAGAGACGAAAGUCGGUCUUAGUGAUCUGACGGUUCCGAGUGGAAGGGCCGUCACUCAACGGAUAAAAGUUACUCUAGGGAUAACA
RNAcentral lists this ribosomal RNA (283 nucleotides) under uncultured eukaryote. RNAcentral's name for it is "partial large subunit ribosomal RNA". It matches the Rfam family "Bacterial large subunit ribosomal RNA", at positions 2198 to 2479 of the family's 2925-position model. The record is from RNAcentral.